Long non-coding RNA from Alligator mississippiensis (American alligator), 2238 nucleotides. RefSeq lists it as uncharacterized. The record is from RefSeq and is a predicted model, not a curated record. The transcript has 3 exons. Lineage: Eukaryota; Metazoa; Chordata; Crocodylia; Alligatoridae.
CCCGCCGCUGGCGGGGGACCAGGUGGGAGCGGGCCAGCCAGCUCAGCCGCACCCCCCGCGCCGCCGCCGGGAAGCCUGGGGCCCGGCCCGCCUCCCCUUCCCCGCAGGCGACCCGGCUUGUGAGGGCGUUGUGAGGUGCCCCGAGCCCCUUCCCCACAGGCUGGAUACGCGACAAACAGCCCGGCUUCGGCUGUCAAGGGGACAUUGACCCCGACAGCCGGGGAAAGCUUGCCAACAAAAAAACAAGCAGCGGGUUGCGACUCAGGACAGAUCCGCGUCCAGCUGCACUCGCCUGGGGAGAGGACAGGGGAAGAAAGAAAUUCAACUGUGAGAUGGCAAGCUGAAUUGACUUCAAAGACAAAGGACGUAUAUUCAUCCUGGAGUAGAUGAAGAACAAGUUAGAGUUUAUUUAGAAACAGGAAACAUCUGGAAACAGAGAGAAGAAGUGAUGGGCAACCCUGGAGAGUCCUGCUGCUGUGAUUCUGGACUGCAAAUCCCAGAGACCUCAGGGGCAGCAGGAAGAUGAAGCAAACACACAGCUCAUGGCUGGCUAUGUGCCAGAGAGUGCUCCCCAGCUUCUGGCCAAAGCCACUGCAAGCAUGUGGCUGUAUUUCCUGAAUCAAAAAGUACAGUAAAUGCAUGUCCAGUUGUUUCUCAGUUUAAUCUCUGCAGUUUAGACUAACCUGCAAAGACCGAAUCAAUUCAGCCUCAGGCUUCUUGACUGUCUGUACUUAGCCAUUGAGCCUUAUCACUUGAUGUGAAAUGCAAGCUUCUUUAACAAUAAAUAUUAGUCCAUAAACAUAUUUUAAUUGAACACUCACCAUUUCUGUCUGUUCUAAGGUAUAAAUCCAUUUUAUGUACAGUUCCAUGUCUAGGUAUGAAAAUGCAGUAAAGAGGCUGGGGGAGAUAGGCUGCUCCAGAUGGACUGUGGUCAGUGCAGGAUGGACAAAGGAAAAAUUGACAACCAUUUACUGCAAGACAAGAGAUGGAAACUCACCAUCUGCCUCCCCCUGUUCUGUCAGUGCACAGUCUGGCAGUCUGAGCAGCUAUGGUCUGAUUUUUAAACUAGAAGCACAGAAACAGGGAGUGUUGAAGAUGGCUCCACUGUUAAGAGUGAGUGGAGGCACAAAAACAGACCACUUUGCUGAAACAGUUUCUGAAGCAGGUUCUUGACCCACAGCUGGCUAGGAAGGACACCUCCUUGGAUUGGCCCAGAAAAGAGCCUAGAAAGGAAAUGGCACUGAUAAGCAGCCACUGCUAUGUUUGUUGUUAUUAUAUGGAAAAUCAAAUAAUGAGGGGAAAGGGCUUCCAUGUGAUGCCCAAUAAAAUUAUAAUUAUAGACGAUACUAUGUGGGAUUGCUUAGCAUCAUUGGGCAUGUCCACACAUGCAAGCACGUGUGCUUGCAGCAGCUCAAAUAGAAGUGGUGCAAAUUUGAGCCAGGGCUUUUUGCUUCAGAGCACGUGCUCGGACAUGCACUUUGUUGUGGAGCAAAUUAACCCUGCCUGGCUCCUCCCGGAUCUUUAGCCAGGGGCAGCUACAACCUGGGGCCAGCACCUGUGCUGUCCCCAACAGUAUAAAAAGCUGCCUUGUCCUGGCCCCAGCAGUAUAAAAAGCCAACCUGGCAAGUAGCUCAGGGCUACUAGCUCUCAGCAGCUUCUGGGGCCCAGCCAAUUGGUACCUGAGGACACUGCCCCUUGUGCCAGCUGGACUGCUGAAGCAGCCCUGGGAGUUCCCUACACCCUAUACCCACUGCAGCAGUCUGGCAGUGGGGGCUGCUGCCUGGCUGUGACCUGCUGUGCACCUGCCAGACUCAAAUGAGGACUGCACAGCCAGUAGAGGCAUCUGCCCCUCUGGGCCAGCUGCCAGCAGACUGCGGUUGCAGGGUUGGCCUUUUGUGCGGCCCUACUGCCAUGUGUGCCCCCUGCCCGACCAUCUGGGCAGCUAUCACCCGGAAGAUGUUUCAGGUGUAGCGGCCUGCUUUAAACUGUCAAAGCAUGUCCUCCUGGCCCCGUUUGGCCAGGAGGUCAGUCACAGCCAGAUGGGUCCAAGGUGCCAGCUCUGAGCAGGCCGGUCCUGCCACUGGCCUCCCUAGCAGGAAUUCUAGUGUUCCCUAUUGGAAAACUGAAAAACCCCUGAUAAAAAAAAUUCCAAAGUCACUCUGUAAAAUACCCAAAAAUCCAUGUUCCUCCACAAGUAAAACAAAAGACCACCACUAAGAGAGAAAGAGAGAGAGUGAG